GCUUGGCAUGGUGGCAUGUUCCUGUAGUCCCAGCUACUCAGUAGGCUGAGGAAGGAGGAUCACUUGAGUUCAGGAGUUCUGGGUUGUAGUGCACUAUGCCAACUGGGCAUCCACACUAAGUUCAGCUUCAAUAUGGUGACUUCGUGGGAGAAGAGGAUCAUCAGGUUGCCUAAGGAGCGGUGAACUGACCCAAGUCAGAAACAGAGCAGGUCAAAACUCCCAUUCUGAUUAGUAGUGGGAUCAUGCCUGUGAAUAGCCACUGCACUCCAACUUGGGAAACAUAGUGAGACCUGGUUUUCCU
Molecule: non-coding RNA, 301 nt
Organism: Chlorocebus sabaeus (green monkey)
Lineage: Eukaryota; Metazoa; Chordata; Mammalia; Primates; Cercopithecidae
Rfam family: Metazoan signal recognition particle RNA
About the family: The signal recognition particle (SRP) is a universally conserved ribonucleoprotein. It is involved in the co-translational targeting of proteins to membranes.
Source: Rfam